RNAcentral lists this ribosomal RNA (404 nucleotides) under Actinomycetes bacterium. RNAcentral describes it as "Actinobacteria bacterium partial 16S ribosomal RNA". It matches the Rfam family "Bacterial small subunit ribosomal RNA", at positions 355 to 776 of the family's 1533-position model. The record is from RNAcentral. Lineage: Bacteria; Bacillati; Actinomycetota; Actinomycetes.
UGGGGAAUAUUGGACAAUGGGCGCAAGCCUGCUCCAGCCAUGCCGCGUGAGUGAUGAAGGCCCUAGGGUUGUAAAGCUCUUUCACCGGUGAAGAUAAUGACGGUAACCGGAGAAGAAGCCCCGGCUAACUUCGUGCCAGCAGCCGCGGUAAUACGAAGGGGGCUAGCGUUGUUCGGAUUUACUGGGCGUAAAGCGCACGUAGGCGGACUAUUAAGUCAGGGGUGAAAUCCCGGGGCUCAACCCCGGAACUGCCUUUGAUACUGGUAGUCUUGAGUUCGAGAGAGGUGAGUGGAAGUCCGAGUGUAGAGGUGAAAUUCGUAGAUAUUCGGAGGAACACCAGUGGCGAAGGCGGCUCACUGGCUCGAUACUGACGCUGAGGUGCGAAAGCGUGGGGAGCAAACAGG